Pocillopora damicornis (cauliflower coral) is the source of this 655-nucleotide long non-coding RNA. Lineage: Eukaryota; Metazoa; Cnidaria; Anthozoa; Scleractinia; Pocilloporidae. The record is from RefSeq and is a predicted model, not a curated record.
UUGAUAUCUUUUUCUAUCCUGGAUGCCUCUCUAGUUACCACGGCGGAAAUACUUAUAUAUUUUUUUACCACUCUUCUUUACCAUGAUGAGUAAUUACACCAUGCUUUCACCAGUUAUGUCAACAUGACCCUAGAUGGAUAGAAGUUGAAAUAAAACCGUGAAAACCACCGGUAAGAGUGUUACUUAGCAACACCACGCAAUCGCAGGAUCAAUCUUACAAAACUUUUAAGAAUUAGUUGAACUCCAUUUACGAAGUGAAUCUAUAUUCACUCUGCAGAGCUGAGUUCGGUAAUUUUAUCGGAAGUCUACUUAGCUUUGAAGGAAAUGAGAUGGCAAAUAUUUCGCAAUGUAAUUCUUAUUUCAAUAAUUCUUAUGUCUAAAGUUGCAAAUGGAAGACCUUCGACAAAAAGGAUACGAUCCGAGAAAGUCAAGCCCGGCCUAAUCACUGUUCCAAUCAUGAAGGAUGCUCGCGGAGUGCCACACGAAACCACUGCGCAGGAAAAUGCGAAGUCUUAUUUGACCGGCCCUGCUUACAGGAUCCUGAACAAGGACAAUACUUUUGACUCUAAGGAUCCUUUCAUUUUCUUUCCACUGAUUGCCGUUGAACACCCAAGAGGAUAAGUUGCAAAAAUUAAAACCGUCAGAACAUCUGCUA